Molecule: long non-coding RNA, 592 nt
Filed under: Homo sapiens (human)
Lineage: Eukaryota; Metazoa; Chordata; Mammalia; Primates; Hominidae
Description: HSALNT0276979
Source: RNAcentral
AAAUCAUCAGGGGUUGCCUGCUUGGCAGUCACAUGCUUCCCUGGUUUUAGCACACAUACAAGGAGUUUUCAGGGAACUCUAUCAAGCCAUACCAAAAUCAGGGUCACAUGUGGGUUUCCCCUUUCCUUGCCUCUUCAUAAAAGACAACUUGGCUUCUGAGGAUGGUGGUCUUUUGCAUGCAGUUGGGCUGACCUGACAAAGCCCCCAGUUUCCUGUGGCAGGUUCUGGGAGAGGAUGCAUUCAAGCUUCUGCAGCCUAGGGGACAGGGCUGCUUGUUCAGUUAUUACUGCCUCGGAGCUCCAAAUCCCACCAAAGUCCUGACUCCAGGUCUUUCCUAAUGCACAGUAGUCAGUCUCAGCUUCGGCAGUAUUCUCGGCUGUAUGUUCUCUGGCAGAGAGAGGCAGAUGAACAUAGUUUUAGGGAGAAAGCUGAUGGGAAACCUGUGAGUUAAGCCACAUGUCUCACCAGGAAUAAUUUAUGCCAGGAAACCAGGAAGUCAUUCAAGUUGUUCUCUGAGGCCAAAGACACUGAGCACAGCCCAGAGCCAAUAAAAGAUCUUUGAGUCUCUGGUGAAUUCACGAAGUGACCCCAG